Molecule: ribosomal RNA, 253 nt
Filed under: uncultured bacterium
Lineage: Bacteria
Description: partial 16S ribosomal RNA
Rfam family: Bacterial small subunit ribosomal RNA
Source: RNAcentral
UACAGAGGUGGCAAGCGUUGUUCGGAAUUACUGGGCGUAAAGGGCGCGUAGGCGGUCCGAUAAGUCCUGUGUGAAAUCCCUCGGCUCAACUGAGGAACUGCACGGGAGACUGCCGGGCUUGAGUUCGGGAGAGGGAAGCGGAAUUCCGGGUGUAGCGGUGAAAUGCGUAGAUAUCCGGAGGAACACCGGUGGCGAAGGCGGCUUCCUGGACCGACACUGACGCUGAGGCGCGAAAGCCAGGGGAGCAAACGGG